RNAcentral lists this ribosomal RNA (338 nucleotides) under uncultured bacterium. Its description in RNAcentral is "bacterial SSU rRNA". It matches the Rfam family "Bacterial small subunit ribosomal RNA", at positions 189 to 507 of the family's 1533-position model. The record is from RNAcentral.
ACGACCUACGGGUGAAAGCAGGGGACCGCAAGGCCUUGCGUCGAUGGAGCGGCCGAUGCCGGAUUAGCUAGUUGGUGAGGUAAAGGCUCACCAAGGCGACGAUCCGUAGCCUGGUCUGAGAGGACGACCCAGCCACACUGGGACUGAGACAGGCCCAGACUCCUACGGGAGGCAGCAUGGGGAAUCUUGGACAAUGGGCGAAAGCCUGAUCCAGCAAUGCCGCGUGUGGGAAGAAGGCCUUCGGGUUGUAAACCACUUUUUGGCGGGAAAGAAAUGGUCUGUGCUAAUACCACGGAUUGAUGACGGUACCCGCAGAAUAAGCACCGGCUAACUACGUG